UUUGUGCGCCUGUCUCUGCAGUUAUGAAUGAGGAGGUCCCGCCUGCCCUGUGACUAUAAGUUUAACGGCCGCGGUAUUUUGACCGCGCGAAGGUAGCGCAAUCACUUGUCUCUUAAAUGGAGACCUGUAUGAAUGGCACAACGAGGGCUUAGCUGUCUCCUCCCCUAAGUUAAUGAAAUUGAUCUCCCCGUGCAGAAGCGGGGAUAAACACAUAAGACGAGAAGACCCUAUGAAGCUUUAGACGUAAGGUAGCCCAAAAUACAAUGCCCCCCUAACAAGGGGAUAAACCAAAAGGCCCCCUACCCCGAUGUCUUUGGUUGGGGCGACCGCGGGGAAAGAAAAAACCCCCACGUGGAACGGGAGUACAACUCCUUAAACUAAGAGCCCCAGCUCUAAGAAACAAAAUUUUUGACCUACAGAUCCGGCAGUGCCGAUCAACGGACCGAGUUACUCUAGGGAUAACAGCGCAAUCCCCUUUUAGAGACCAUAUCAACGAGGGGGUUUACGACCUCGAUGUUGGAUCAGGACAUCCUAUUGGUGCAGCAGCUAUUAAGGGUUCGAUUGUUCGACGAUUAAAGUCCU
RNAcentral lists this ribosomal RNA (582 nucleotides) under Chaenodraco wilsoni. Its description in RNAcentral is "partial 16S ribosomal RNA". It matches the Rfam family "Bacterial large subunit ribosomal RNA", at positions 1820 to 2597 of the family's 2925-position model. Lineage: Eukaryota; Metazoa; Chordata; Actinopteri; Perciformes; Channichthyidae. The record is from RNAcentral.